UUUGCGGGCAAAUUUGUCCAUCUUCAGCACUAUCUCUCCAGUGAGCUAGAUGGAAGACUUGUUACAUUCUGCUCCUUGACGCCGGUGAAAGUAUGAAGUUCUGCUCGUAUUAACCCGACAUUGGACGGCGCAAUUGGAUAUAGAUCCUGACUCGAACCUUGCUUGUUUGGAGACGUUUGAGAAGGAGAAGUUUGAACACCGAGUUUUUCCUCCUUUUCCUUUGAGUACCUACAUGUUUAUUAACGUCACAUUUACCAACCGACGAGGAGUGAAACAACGACGAAAACUGAAGUGGAGUCGAGGCAUGUGAGUUGUACUGACAUCCAUUUGCCUCCUUACUCAAGAAUCUGUUCUGCUCUGAUACUACGUCCAAAGGUGGAAAACUGUUCGUCAUGUUAACUGAAGGCGUCACUUCCUGUGCAUGAAGCUCUGCAGCAUGUCGAUGGGAAGCGGGAAGACGAUUGUGGAGUUUUUCUCAGCUGCGAUGCUGUUCAGCGUCUGCAGGUAUCGUAGCUGCAGGGCGGACGGCGACUCGGCGAUGACCAGCGAGGCUUCCUUCAGGGCCCUGGAUGCCUUCAUCUCGCCCUCGGCAGAGAUGAUCUGACACAUGAAAGACACGUCAGCGUUUCUCUUUUGUCGUGUGGAAUUGAUGUUACAAAAAAUAAAAGGAAGGAAGGCGUUCCCAUUCCCCACCUUGGCCCUCGCCUCCCGACUGGCCUCCGCCUCCGCCGCCAUGGCUCUCUGCAACUGCUGAGGUAACUUCACGUCUUUGAUCUCCACGCGCUCCACCUUUAUGCCCCACGCAUUGGUGGCCUCGUCCAGGGAUUCCUGCACAUACAGUCGCAAUAAUAGUUCAUUUUUCUCUUCAAUACCAACACAUCAUCAGCAACAACAGGGAUUUUUUUUUUCCUAUUUCUUCAUAUCAAAAUGUUGUCAAAUGAAAAGCCUGUACCUUCAAUAUAUACAGUGGUGUGAAAUGGUGUUUGUCCCCUUACAUUGUACAUUGAAACAAUGCAGUAUCAUUGCAGUACCAACAACUGCAAUCAAGCGUUAACUUGCAAUGAGUGAACAAAUGAACUCUUACAGUGCUGUGGAGGAAUUUUGCAGAAUUGUUGUCAUUCAGCCACAUUGGAGGCUUUUCCAGCAUGAAGCGCCUUUUUAAGGUCAUGCCACAGCAUCUCAACAGGAUUCAGGUCAGGACUUUGACUAGGCCACUCCAAAGUCUUCAUUGUGUGUUUCUUCAGCCAUUCAGAGGUGGACUUGCUGGUGUGUUUUGGAUCAUUGUCCUGCUGCAGAACCCGAGUUGGUUUCAGCUUGAGGUCACCAACAGAUGGCCGGACAUUCUCCUUCACGAUUUUUUGGUAGACAGCAAAAUUGAUGGUUACAUUUAUCACAGCAAGUCUUCCAUGUCCUGAAGCUGCACAACAGCCCCAGACCAUCACACUACCACCACCAUAUUUUACUGCUGGUAUGAUGUUCUUUUUCUGGAAUGUGGCAUUACUUUUAUUCCAGAUGUAAUGGGACACACACCUUUCAAAAGGUUCAACUUUUGUCUCAUCAGACCACUUUUGGCUCAUCAGAGUAUUUUCCCAAAGGUCUUGGAAUCAUCAAGAUGUUUUCUGGCAAAAUUGAGAUGAGCAUGAAUGUUCUUUUUUUUCGGCAGUGGUUUUUGGAACUCAGGCCGUUUUUGCCCAGUGUCUUUCUUAUGGUGGAGUCAUGAACACUGACCUUAACUGAGGCAAGUGAGCCCCACAGUUCUUUGCAUGUUGUUGUGGGGUCUUUUGCGACCUCUUGGAUGAGUCGUUGCUGCGCUCUUGGGGUCAUUUUGUUUGGCCGCCCCCUCCUGGGAAGGUUCACCACUGUUUCAUAUUUUUCGCCAUUUGUGGAUAAUGGCUCUCACUGUAGUUCACUGGAGUCCCAAAGCUUUAGAAAUGGCUUUAUAACCUUUUCCAGACUGAUAGAUCUCAAUUAAUCUCAGUUAAAUUAUGUUUUAAUAGGGGGGGCAAUCCAAUUUUCA
Dunckerocampus dactyliophorus (ringed pipefish) is the source of this 2017-nucleotide long non-coding RNA. RefSeq lists it as uncharacterized. NCBI's taxonomy places the organism in Eukaryota, Metazoa, Chordata, Actinopteri, Syngnathiformes, Syngnathidae. The transcript has 3 exons. The record is from RefSeq and is a predicted model, not a curated record.